AGAACGAACGCUGGCGGCAUGCCUAACACAUGCAAGUCGAACGAGACCUUCGGGUCUAGUGGCGCACGGGUGCGUAACGCGUGGGAAUCUGCCCUUGGGUUCGGGAUAACAGUUGGAAACGACUGCUAAUACCGGAUGAUGACUUCGGUCCAAAGAUUUAUCGCCCAGGGAUGAGCCCGCGUAGGAUUAGCUAGUUGGUGAGGUAAAGGCUCACCAAGGCGACGAUCCUUAGCUGGUCUGAGAGGAUGAUCAGCCACACUGGACUGAGACACGG
This 274-nucleotide ribosomal RNA is filed under the name uncultured soil bacterium. Its description in RNAcentral is "partial 16S ribosomal RNA". It matches the Rfam family "Bacterial small subunit ribosomal RNA", at positions 26 to 329 of the family's 1533-position model. The record is from RNAcentral.